Molecule: ribosomal RNA, 748 nt
Filed under: uncultured bacterium
Lineage: Bacteria
Description: bacterial SSU rRNA
Rfam family: Bacterial small subunit ribosomal RNA
Source: RNAcentral
AGAGUUUGAUCCUGGCUCAGGACGAACGCUGGCGGCGUGCCUAAUACAUGCAAGUCGAGCGGACUUAAAAAGCUUGCUUUUUAAGUUAGCGGCGGACGGGUGAGUAACACGUGGGCAACCUGCCUGUAAGACUGGGAUAACUUCGGGAAACCGGAGCUAAUACCGGAUAAUCCUUUUCUACUCAUGUAGGAAAGCUGAAAGACGGUUUACGCUGUCACUUACAGAUGGGCCCGCGGCGCAUUAGCUAGUUGGUGAGGUAACGGCUCACCAAGGCGACGAUGCGUAGCCGACCUGAGAGGGUGAUCGGCCACACUGGGACUGAGACACGGCCCAGACUCCUACGGGAGGCAGCAGUAGGGAAUCUUCCGCAAUGGACGAAAGUCUGACGGAGCAACGCCGCGUGAGUGAUGAAGGUUUUCGGAUCGUAAAACUCUGUUGUUAGGGAAGAACAAGUACGAGAGUAACUGCUCGUACCUUGACGGUACCUAACCAGAAAGCCACGGCUAACUACGUGCCAGCAGCCGCGGUAAUACGUAGGUGGCAAGCGUUGUCCGGAAUUAUUGGGCGUAAAGCGCGCGCAGGCGGUCCUUUAAGUCUGAUGUGAAAGCCCACGGCUCAACCGUGGAGGGUCAUUGGAAACUGGGGGACUUGAGUGCAGAAGAGAAGAGUGGAAUUCCACGUGUAGCGGUGAAAUGCGUAGAGAUGUGGAGGAACACCAGUGGCGAAGGCGACUCUUUGGUCUGUAACU